Long non-coding RNA from Cucumis sativus (cucumber), 889 nucleotides. RefSeq lists it as uncharacterized. NCBI's taxonomy places the organism in Eukaryota, Viridiplantae, Streptophyta, Magnoliopsida, Cucurbitales, Cucurbitaceae. The record is from RefSeq and is a predicted model, not a curated record. The transcript is spliced from 2 exons.
UGCAGAAAAACUCUGUCAUUGAAGUUGAUGUAAGUCUGGCGGAGACCAGUCAGGUGGAAGAAAAGAAUGGAGUUCAAUUGUGGAAGCUAACCCAAUCUUAUGUUAAUGCUGCAAUGAGUUCGUCAAUGGAUGGAAACCAGUUUGUGGGUGUUUGUGGCGGACAUUCUGUACAGUCCCGCCUUGUUGGUCCCUCCUAUGUUGGUAAGAAUCCUCAAGCUUGCAACAGUACCAAGAGGUGGAAGCUGGAGUCAGACAUCGUUCGGACCGAUCGAGAGGAAGCCUCGAAGUGGCCAGAAAAGUGGGCAGAUAAGAAGCAUCGCCUCCGUGAUUCCCGUGGGGGAGACCAGGUCAUCGUCAAACGGCGAUCUGAACUGACUCAGUUUUUGAAGAAGACUUCAAGAUCACUGCCUCGUGAGAGAACGCGAGGGACAAACAGAAGUUCAAGAAGUCCUUGCUAAAGAAGCAAGGAAAAGAAGAAGACCCAUGGGGGGAUACACAAGUUCGUGGUGAAGCAGAGGAGCCUCCUCAUGGAAGAAGCCUGUGGAAGACGUACAAAUCUUCUUAUAGAUUAUGUUGAAGGAGGCGGCGCAAUUCAAUAUGCGAAAGUCAUGAUCCCUUUAAAGCAGACGUUAGGCGCAAAGAAAGAAGCUCAUUAACGAGAAUGAAAGAAUAAUUCACUCAUUAACGAGAAUGAAAGAAUAAUUCACUCAUUAACGAUAAUGAAAGAAUAAUUCUGAUUUCAUCACCUUGUUUUUACGGAGUUCAAUACUAGAUUGAAGACGGAGGGAAAUCCCAGAUUUUGCUAGGUUUUGGGCCUAUAAAGUAGCAAGAAAUCAUGAAAAAUCAGUCAAAAUUAGACAAUUAUCGUAGCAUAUCAAUAUGAGAAAAA